UCGAGAAUUUUUCUCAAUGGGGGAAACCCUGAAGGAGCGACGCCGCGUGGAGGAUGAAGGUUUUCGGAUUGUAAACUCCUGUCAUUGGUGAACAAAGCCUUAGGUUAACUGCCUGGAGGUUUGCUAGUAGCCGAAGAGGAAGGGACGGCUAACUCUGUGCCAGCAGCCGCGGUAAUACAGAGGUCCCGAGCGUUGUUCGGAUUCAUUGGGCGUAAAGGGUGCGUAGGCGGCGGGGUAAGUCUGAUGUGAAAUCUCGGAGCUCAACUCCGAAACUGCAUUGGAUACUGCCUUGCUAGAGUACUGGAGAGGAAACUGGAAUUUACGGUGUAGCAGUGAAAUGCGUAGAGAUCGUAAGGAAGACCAGUGGCGAAGGCGAGUUUCUGGACAGUAACUGACGCUGAGGCACGAAGGCCAGGGGAGCAAACGG
Molecule: ribosomal RNA, 427 nt
Filed under: uncultured bacterium
Lineage: Bacteria
Description: bacterial SSU rRNA
Rfam family: Bacterial small subunit ribosomal RNA
Source: RNAcentral